CCUGAACUAUAGCCACUUCCUGUGCACCAAGACCAUGUAAUUGCUGGUAGCGGAAACUGCGGAAUGAAAACUGAGAAGAAAGGGUCUACUGCAUUAUCACGAGCACCAUUUUUUUUUCUUCUGGUGCUGGCAAUCAAAUCCUGGGCUUGGCACAUACAAUAGGCAUUUGGUCAUGCAGGAUAUUUGUUCCUUUAUUUAUCUGUUGUUGCAAAAAUGCCUACAUACCGAAGAGGGCCUGAUGACUCUGAAUACUUAAAAAGUUUCUAGGGUGACAGUCACACGCAGUGUACAGAAAGGCACAGAGUGAUUUUGUUUCAAGACUCUCAGUACAACGACUAGAAGAUGAACUUAUGUAGAUGAACAUCCUCACUCUCUUUGACUGGAGCCACGGAUGCAAAUAGGACAUGGAAAUGUUAUC
Long non-coding RNA from Microtus oregoni (creeping vole), 418 nucleotides. RefSeq lists it as uncharacterized. The record is from RefSeq and is a predicted model, not a curated record. The transcript has 3 exons. NCBI's taxonomy places the organism in Eukaryota, Metazoa, Chordata, Mammalia, Rodentia, Cricetidae.